Molecule: ribosomal RNA, 421 nt
Filed under: uncultured Gammaproteobacteria bacterium
Lineage: Bacteria; Pseudomonadati; Pseudomonadota; Gammaproteobacteria
Description: bacterial SSU rRNA
Rfam family: Bacterial small subunit ribosomal RNA
Source: RNAcentral
UGCACAAUGGGCGAAAGCCUGAUGCAGCAAUGCCGCGUGUGUGAAGAAGGCUGCGGGUUGUAAAGCACUUUCAGUAGGGAGGAAACAGUAACGGGCCAAUACCCCGAUACCUUGACGUUACCUACAGAAGAAGCACCGGCUAACUCUGUGCCAGCAGCCGCGGUAAUACAGAGGGUGCAAGCGUUAAUCGGAAUUACUGGGCGUAAAGCGCGCGUAGGCGGCUUGGUCAGUCGGAUGUGAAAGCCCCGGGCUUAACCUGGGAAUUGCAUUCGAUACUGCCAGGCUAGAAUGUAGUAGAGGGAAGUGGAAUUCCGGGUGUAGCGGUGAAAUGCGUAGAUAUCCGGAGGAACAUCAGUGGCGAAGGCGACUUCCUGGACUAACAUUGACGCUGAGGUGCGAAAGCGUGGGGCAAACAGGAUUA